This is a non-coding RNA of Cheilinus undulatus (humphead wrasse), 616 nucleotides long. The record is from the annotation of a RefSeq genome assembly. Lineage: Eukaryota; Metazoa; Chordata; Actinopteri; Labriformes; Labridae.
GAAUAUCAGAUCAGCAGUCAUUAGUACAAGACAGAAAGACAACAUGAUCAUCUUCUUCCUGAUCAUUCAUUUAAACAUUUUGUUGGUUUCAGGCUCCUCUCUCAGUGACAAAGUCUUCCAGACUCCAUCCAACAUUCACAUCAGACCAGGAAAAGAAGCCAGAAUCACCUGUAGACAUGAAAUAAGCAACUAUGACCAGAUCCUCUGGUACAAGCAGUCAGACAGACAGAUGAAGUUUCUGGGAAAUAUGAUUCGAAAAGCACCAACCCCUGAGGAUGGAGUGGAUGUGAGGAUUGAAGGAGAUGCAACUGAAAACCAGAACUGCACAUUAAUAAUUGAGAAAGUCCACCUGAACAACACUGCAGUGUAUUUCUGUGCAGCUCGCUCCUCUCUCAGUGACAAAGUCUUCCAGACUCCAUCCAACAUUCACAUCAGACCAGGAAAAGAAGCCAGAAUCACCUGUAGACAUGAAAUAAGCAGCUAUGACCAGAUCCUCUGGUACAAGCAGUCAGACAGACAGAUGAAGCUUCUGGGAAAUAUGGAUCGAAAAGCACCAACCCCUGAGGAUGGAGUGGAUCUCUCAGCUCCUUAUCACACCUGCAAUAAGCCACUGUAA